Long non-coding RNA from Erpetoichthys calabaricus (reedfish), 4043 nucleotides. RefSeq lists it as uncharacterized. The transcript has 3 exons. The record is from RefSeq and is a predicted model, not a curated record. NCBI's taxonomy places the organism in Eukaryota, Metazoa, Chordata, Cladistia, Polypteriformes, Polypteridae.
CCCCCCAAAACAGCAGUACGCCAGGCUCUGCCACAAGAUUUCAAACGGCAGCCUGCUCACGUGAUCGUGUCUUAUGGCCAGAAGCUGCCAAAUUCUGAACUAUAAAAACAACCUGCAGCUUCAUGAAUCACUAUGGCUGGCUUAAGCGGCACAGAUACUGCCUCUCUCCUCACGCAACCCCGUGACUCACCACCAAGGAAGUGGUCUUCAUGGUUUCCUGCAAGUUUGAAUUGAUUGGGUUGUGCUGCCCAGGUGGAUCCUGGAGGAACCUUCCCGACGUUACACCCUAAAAGUCACCGGAUGAUUGCAAUCACUUCUGUCUGUCAGCAACAGAUACCAACUUGUAGUUUAUGGCUGAAUAUGUGAAGGGUGAUUGGCAGAGUCCGGGAUGGGGCUUUUAAACCUUAAGGAGACAAUGUGAGGCGUGGUAGACCAUGAACCGGGACCAGAGGUUUGCGUCUCAGCCGCUUGGAGUACUUGUUAGAUGUUAAAAGAUUUUAUGAAGUAUGAUGAACCAAAUCCUUCAUACGUGAUCUAUCUUGUGUGCAGUUGGGACUGGAUGGGGCAAUACAGCAUUUGGGAGGGAGCUUGGACGUUAGGAGACAGUGGCAUGCAUUGAGGCAUUGGACCAAGUUGGGUUAAUCCAAGAAAUGGACACGUACAUUUAUGCCCUGGGGACUUUGCUCUCAUGCCAUGCUAGACCUAUAAAAAGGGAUAGGUUGGAAGCAGGUUGGCAUGUGAAAUUGGACUGGGUAUAUUAGAAGACAUCAUGAGUCACAUUUGGCCAGAAUUAGGACCAGACAGUAGCAAUAUGGUGUCUUGCACUGGGUUUUGAAUAUCAGGAGAUGCUAUGGGUUUGCUUUAGCUCAAGAUAUUUAAUGUGAAGUAGGUCUUGUAUAGAACUGGAACUGGAUGGGUACAGUCUGGCAUCUUGAACUAGACCUUAUAUAUCCUGAGGCAUUAUGGAGCUUGUGUGGCCUAGAACUGGGACUGGGCGGUAGCAGAAUAGUGUCUACCAGUGAGUUUAAAUAUCAGAAGAUGCUAUCAGGUGUGUUGGACCAAAUCCCAGAGGUAGAUCUUCUAUGGAACUGAGACUGGAUGGCAGCAACAUAGUGUCUAUGACUGGGUUGAAACAUCAGGAGAUGUUAUCAGGUGUGCUGGAACACAUCAUUCAGGUAGAUCUUGAAUGUAACUGUGACUGGAUGGCAGCAAUAUAGGGUUUUCAACAGGGUUUAAGUAUCAGCAGAUCUUAUAGUGAGUAUUAGACCAAAUCAUUCAGGUAAAUCUUCUAUUGAACUGGGAUUGGAUGUUAGCAAGAUAGGGUCUGCAAAUGGGUUUAAGUAUCAGGAGAUGUUAUUGGGUGUGUUGGAUCAAAUUAUUGAGGUAGAUCUUCUAUGGAAUUGGGACUGGAUGGCAGCAAGAUAGUGUCUGUGACUAGAUUUAAGUGUCAGGAGACGUUAUCAGGUGUGUUGGACCAAAUCCCUGAGGAAGAAUCUUGAAUCUUGAAUGGAACUGGGAAUGGAUGGUAGCAAUAUAAGGUCUGUGACUGGGUUUAAACACCAGGAGAUGUUAUUGAGUGUGUUGGACCAAAUCAUUGAGGUAGUUCUUGAAUGGAACUGAGACUGGAUGUUAGCAAUAUAUGGUCUGUGACUGGAGUUAAGUGUCAGGAGAUAUUAUCAGGUGUGUUGGAUCAAAUCAUUGAGGUACAUCUUGUAUGGAACUGAGAAUGGAUGGUGGUAAUAUAAGGUCUGCGACUGGGUUUAAGUAUCAGGAGAUGUUAUCAGGUGUGUUAGAACAGAUCAUUGAGGUCCAUCUUGUACGGAACUGAGACUAGAUGAUUGCUGCGUAGCAUUUGGGGCAUUAAAAGUCCUUAUAAGGCCUGCUGCACCAAAUGCCUUCAAUGGAGAUACAGUAUAUCUCAUAAAAAUCCUGAGAUGGGUGGUUGCAGUGUAGCAUGUGGGACUUGGCUUCAGCAUCAGAAGCCAUUGUGGGCAUGUCGGUCCAAGUCUUUUUUAAUCACGAAUGCGUGAUGUUUAGAAGCUGAGACCAGACAGGUGCAACGUACCCUCUGGUACUGGGGUCAGAUAUCAAGAGGUGUGUUGAAGCUAGGCUGGGAUUACAGUUUUAAAUCCUGGAGAGAGUGUUUUAAAUACUGGGAGGCACUAUGAGGCACAUUGGGCCUAGAGCUACAGUAGGAGUAAUUAUGGCAGAUAAAUAACAGAGGACAUUACGAGGCUUGUUAGACCAAAUUGUUUCACCAGGUUGGGUUUCUUUCUGGGACUGGGUGUGACAUUUUCUGGUGUUUUGGACCAAACCUUUUUUUACCAGGGACAUGCCUGGUGCAUGGUAGUGUCUGACGCUAGGCAUAAACAUCAGGAGGCUUUGUUAGGUGUGCUGGACCUAGAAAUGGGGUUGCAAUUUGGAACCUUAGACUGUGGUUUAUAAUAAUUUAGGAGACAUUACUAAGCCUGCUGGACCUAGAACUGAAAACGGAAGGGAGCAUCAUUGCACUGCGCUUACAUAUCUGGAAUUGUUCUGAGAUCUUUUCUGGACCACGUCAUGUCUUCAGGGAUAGGCGUUCAUGCAGAACUAGGACCAGAUGAGUGUACUGUUGCCUCUGAGUACUGGGCAGAAAUUGUGAGACAUGUUAAAAGGUAUGCUAGACGUGGAACCUGGACUGGAGUGGAGCAACAUGGCCUCUGUGAUGGAACUUAAAUAUCGCUACACGUCAAGAGGCGGGUUGUGCCACAUUCUUAAAUCAGUGCCAUGUGUUACAGAGAAGCAGCACUGGACGAGUGCAAUGCACGGGUUCAAACCUCAGGAGACGUUACAAGGUGUGCUGAGCCCAGCCCUCUAAUCGGAGUUUGUACAACUGGGCAGCCUUUCAGUUAACUUGGAAGAGAUUUUAUUUUUUUCCCAGAGGCCGAGAAUACUUUGUGAAAUGACAUCGAAAGUACAAGGCAGCGUAACUCCCUGCCACAAGUCUGUGCCUGCCCUGGGAAAACAGGAGAGGCGUCUUAUUCAGAGGUUUCUUUUAGUCUGGCUAAGGAUAAAAAGAGACCAGUAAGGGCAGAUAAAAAGCUGUUUUAUUACUUCUUUUUUUGUAAAAAGUAUAUAGGGUUGUACGAUUUAAAAGUAGUAAGAAUGUCUGUUUGCUUCAGAACAGUAAGGCUAACGUUAGUAUUCUGUAACUGUUUAAACGUUUCGCUGCCUUGUGAAACGAGCCUUAGUCAUGUAAACUACUCGGCAGGCUCCGACUGGCCUGUUUACAAUUUCUAUGAAGCAGUUUUCAUUUUAAUAAUAAAAAAAAAAUGAUAUAUAUUAACGAAGAAAGGCCUCAAAGGAAAAGCAAAGGAGGAGGAGGAGGAGGAGGAAAGGGAAACCUGACCUUCAAUUCAAGGCUGCCGUUUCCGUUGGGCUCUGACAGAUGUGUUGUGCGAGUGCAGAGCUACUUGUAUUUAUUUAAUUCUUUAUUUCUUCAGUUCACCCGAUCUAGGCGUGCGUCUAUAUUUAAUUAUGUUUUCCAUAACGGUGCUACUCUCCUCGGAGUGUUUAACUGCCAACCCUGUGAAUUGCACGCUGGCCUACAUUUUCCUGUUGGUAUUUUGCAAAGCCAUUCUUUAUUCAAGUGAUUUUUCCCUCCCAUUGCCACCUUCUUCCAUUGAUCAGUAAACCCCUCGCCACCCCACACCAUCCCUACCACGUCAACAGUUAUACCACUUUAACCAGAAUGGCCGGUGACAUGUCCACCUCUGACCGUCACUAUGGGCUGUCCCUAAGUGAAGAUCAAGUGAGGAGACAACUGAGGAGGAUACACACAGGAAGAGCUGUGGAACCAGAUGGAGGGAGUCCUCGAGUUCUUAAAGACUGUGCUGGCCAACGUUGUGGUGUCUUCUGUCACCUUUUCAGUCGGUCAUUAAUGCAGCAAAAAGUUCUGCUGCUGUGGAAAACAUCCUGCACUGCUCCAGUUCCAAAAAACGGCAAUUGCCUCUUCAUCUCAUGACUAAUCCUGCCUACUAUACUAAAAUAUCUAUCUCUCUGAU